UACGUAGGGGGCAAGCGUUGUCCGGAUUCAUUGGGCGUAAAGAGCGUGUAGGCGGCCAGGUAGGUCGGUUGUGAAAACUGGAGGCUCAACCUUCAGAGGUCGACCGAAACCAUCUGGCUAGAGUCCGGGAGAGGAGAGUGGAAUUCCUGGUGUAGCGGUGAAAUGCGCAGAUAUCAGGAGGAACACCAGUGGCGAAGGCGGUUCUCUGGGCAUUACCUGACGCUGAGGAGCGAAAGUGUGGGGAGCGAACAGG
This 253-nucleotide ribosomal RNA is filed under the name uncultured bacterium. RNAcentral describes it as "partial 16S ribosomal RNA". It matches the Rfam family "Bacterial small subunit ribosomal RNA", at positions 524 to 776 of the family's 1533-position model. The record is from RNAcentral.